CUUCAUAAUUAAUUAGUAGUAGCGAUAUUACAGAGGGUGUGAUUGAGAAGGAUUUAUCAGUUGGAGGCCACACCACUCAUGCGCCAAGUGAAGUUGCAGUGUAUAAAGAAGAAAAAUCAGAAUCAAAUGUUGGAUUAGAUGGAUUGAAAGGACCCUAUAUGCCGGGUUUGGGAGGAAGUAUUAAAAAAACUUGUUUUGUUUGUUGCAUCUCGUUGGAAGAGUGUACAAUAUGCUGUAACUAAAGAAAAUAAGAAAUUGGGCCUUUGGCCCCUUUGUUCACCCAAA
This is a non-coding RNA of Arachis ipaensis, 285 nucleotides long. Lineage: Eukaryota; Viridiplantae; Streptophyta; Magnoliopsida; Fabales; Fabaceae. The record is from RefSeq and is a predicted model, not a curated record.